GAGUGGCGAACUGGUGAGUAACACGUGGGAAACCUGCCCAGAAGCGGGGGAUAACACCUGGAAACAGAUGCUAAUACCGCAUAACAACUUGGACCGCAUGGUCCGAGCUUGAAAGAUGGCUUCGGCUAUCACUUUUGGAUGGUCCCGCGGCGUAUUAGCUAGAUGGUGGGGUAACGGCUCACCAUGGCAAUGAUACGUAGCCGACCUGAGAGGGUAAUCGGCCACAUUGGGACUGAGACACGGCCCAAACUCCUACGGGAGGCAGCAGUAGGGAAUCUUCCACAAUGGACGAAAGUCUGAUGGAGCAACGCCGCGUGAGUGAAGAAGGGUUUCGGCUCGUAAAACUCUGUUGUUAAAGAAGAACAUAUCUGAGAGUAACUGUUCAGGUAUUGACGGUAUUUAACCAGAAAGCCACGGCUAACUACGUGCCAGCAGCCGCGGUAAUACGUAGGUGGCAAGCGUUGUCCGGAUUUAUUGGGCGUAAAGCGAGCGCAGGCGGUUUUUUAAGUCUGAUGUGAAAGCCUUCGGCUCAACCGAAGAAGUGCAUCGGAAACUGGGAAACUUGAGUGCAGAAGAGGACAGUGGAACUCCAUGUGUAGCGGUGAAAUGCGUAGAUAUAUGGAAGAACACCAGUGGCGAAGGCGGCUGUCUGGUCUGUAACUGACGCUGAGGCUCGAAAGUAUGGGUAGCAAACAGGAUUAGAUACCCUGGUAGUCCAUACCGUAAACGAUGAAUGCUAAGUGUUGGAGGGUUUCCGCCCUUCAGUGCUGCAGCUAACGCAUUAAGCAUUCCGCCUGGGGAGUACGGCCGCAAGGCUGAAACUCAAAGGAAUUGACGGGGGCCCGCACAAGCGGUGGAGCAUGUGGUUUAAUUCGAAGCUACGCGAAGAACCUUACCAGGUCUUGACAUACUAUGCAAAUCUAAGAGAUUAGACGUUCCCUUCGGGGACAUGGAUACAGGUGGUGCAUGGUUGUCGUCAGCUCGUGUCGUGAGAUGUUGGGUUAAGUCCCGCAACGAGCGCAACCCUUAUUAUCAGUUGCCAGCAUUAAGUUGGGCACUCUGGUGAGACUGCCGGUGACAAACCGGAGGAAGGUGGGGAUGACGUCAAAUCAUCAUGCCCCUUAUGACCUGGGCUACACACGUGCUACAAUGGAUGGUACAACGAGUUGCGAACUCGCGAGAGUAAGCUAAUCUCUUAAAGCCAUUCUCAGUUCGGAUUGUAGGCUGCAACUCGCCUACAUGAAGUCGGAAUCGCUAGUAAUCGCGGAUCAGCAUGCCGCGGUGAAUACGUUCCCGGGCCUUGUACACACCGCCCGUCACACCAUGAGAGUUUGUAACACCCAAA
Molecule: ribosomal RNA, 1345 nt
Filed under: Lactiplantibacillus plantarum
Lineage: Bacteria; Bacillati; Bacillota; Bacilli; Lactobacillales; Lactobacillaceae
Description: bacterial SSU rRNA
Rfam family: Bacterial small subunit ribosomal RNA
Source: RNAcentral